This 56-nucleotide transfer RNA is filed under the name Acanthogammarus victorii. RNAcentral's name for it is "tRNA-Gln". The record is from RNAcentral. Lineage: Eukaryota; Metazoa; Arthropoda; Malacostraca; Amphipoda; Acanthogammaridae.
UUUACUUUAGUGUAAGGAGCACGUAAAUUUUUGGUGUUUAAAGAGUAAGAGUAGGC